This 484-nucleotide ribosomal RNA is filed under the name uncultured bacterium. RNAcentral's name for it is "partial 16S ribosomal RNA". It matches the Rfam family "Bacterial small subunit ribosomal RNA", at positions 30 to 507 of the family's 1533-position model. The record is from RNAcentral.
AUUGAACGCUGGCGGCAGGCCUAACACAUGCAAGUCGAGCGGAUGAAGGGAGCUUGCUCCUGGAUUCAGCGGCGGACGGGUGAGUAAUGCCUAGGAAUCUGCCUGGUAGUGGGGGAUAACGUUCGGAAACGGGCGCUAAUACCGCAUACGUCCUGAGGGAGAAAGUGGGGGAUAUUUGGAUCUCACGCUAUCAGAUGAGCCUAGGUCGGAUUAGCUAGUUGGUGGGGUAAAGGCCUACCAAGGCGACGAUCCGUAACUGGUCUGAGAGGAUGAUCAGUCACACUGGAACUGAGACACGGUCCAGACUCCUACGGGAGGCAGCAGUGGGGAAUAUUGGACAAUGGGCGAAAGCCUGAUCCAGCCAUGCCGCGUGUGUGAAGAAGGUCUUCGGAUUGUAAAGCACUUUAAGUUGGGAGGAAGGGCAGUAAGUUAAUACCUUGCUGUUUUGACGUUACCAACAGAAUAAGCACCGGCUAACUUCGUG